This is a long non-coding RNA of Leguminivora glycinivorella, 548 nucleotides long. RefSeq lists it as uncharacterized. Lineage: Eukaryota; Metazoa; Arthropoda; Insecta; Lepidoptera; Tortricidae. The record is from RefSeq and is a predicted model, not a curated record. The transcript has 5 exons.
AACAUCUAAUUGGAAUUUACAAUGCCCGAUAUUUCUACACAUCUGCCACAAAUUUAUGGAAAUCAAUAUUUAUAGAAACUGAACAUACCUUGGUUAAACGUAUAUGAAAUGGAUUAUCAUCAUUGAAGAACAUCAACCAGCUGUCGGCAAUGUGCAGGUGGACUGAGGAAUUUUCCGGUGUAUCCUUUAUGGACUGUACUCCGUCUUAGCACUAUCCUCAAGUUUUACCCGAGAGGCCACGCUUCAGGUUGGACCGUCUUCCAUAUAUCUACUGACUUCAUAUAAAUGAAAGUGUACUAAAGGCUCACUGAUCUACACUACCAGCUCAUGCUCAAUGUUACUGAACAACAAAGUAAUCCGACAAUCAGACUGGACCCGGUCAUGUUAGAUACCAGAGGAAGACGAAAAUAUAAUUGAUUCUGUACUGAUGCAUGACUUCGCUCGGAACGCGGCAAGAAUUAACAAUGGAAGAAAAUACUACAGACGUGUUUAUUAACAAUAAAGUUAUUUUUGUUUUUAUGAAAUAGCGAUUGAAUAAAAAUAUUAGG